Molecule: long non-coding RNA, 801 nt
Filed under: Capsicum annuum
Lineage: Eukaryota; Viridiplantae; Streptophyta; Magnoliopsida; Solanales; Solanaceae
Description: long non-coding RNA (CANN_LNC010641)
Source: RNAcentral
ACCACAAAUAUAUCCUUAGAUUCCAAAAUUGAAAUCUAAUGUAGUUUACCCAUGAUGAACCCAUGAUGAAAAUAACUUAAAUCCAAAAAGAUGAGACAAAAAUUCACAUAAUAACUCCAAAUUCAAUUUUUUGCACUUUAAAAAGUGCAGAUCUUUUAGAUACAAAAAUGGGCAAAAUCAACUCCAAAUCAUCAUCAAACAUUAAACCACCGCCAAACAAUCCACUACUUUGUUCUCCCUCACAUCUGCACCAUUGUUCCGCCACUCACCCCAUCGAAAAUCGUCCAUCAACACCACAGCUCCUCCACCUUUCUCAUUCUAACUUAUAUCCUCUUUCCUCCUUCAUUUACGGCUAGGCCCACGGCUGGUAUAACCUACAUAACCAAAAAAACCACCGAAAUCAAAAACAAGAUCUCCAGCGCUGUUAUGAGCUCCAUCACCACUAUCGGAACUACAAUAACAACCACCACCACAAACAAGCUCCAACUCUGCUGAGGAAGGAGAGAGUUUUUUUGGCCAAAUCUAAAUGUUUGCAAAGUUAUUACUUGAAAAAUAAAAUAAAAAUUCACGUGAAAAAGAAAGGAAAAUAGGGGCCAUCCAUUGCCGAUUUUCAUGGAGCUCGUUAGAGCUCGUGAUUUUUCGAUUUAGUUGAUGCAUUGUUUGUUGUUGGUGGGUCGAUUUGGUGGUGUCAUGGAGGUUAUAAAGGAAAAUAGGAAUUGGGUUGUUUGUUAUUUUGUUUGCCGAAGAAGCCAUCUCCGAUGAGGUUGGAUGGAGACGAGGAGAUGAGGAAAGUAAGAGUGA